This 301-nucleotide ribosomal RNA is filed under the name uncultured bacterium. RNAcentral describes it as "bacterial SSU rRNA". It matches the Rfam family "Bacterial small subunit ribosomal RNA", at positions 775 to 1067 of the family's 1533-position model. The record is from RNAcentral.
GGAUUAGAUACCCUGGUAGUCCACGCCGUAAACGAUGGACGCUCGGCGUUUGCGGACUAUCAACGUCCGUGAGCGCCUCAGCUAACGCGGUAAGCGUCCCGCCUGGGAACUACGGCCGCAAGGCUAAAACUCAAAGGAAUUGACGGGGGCCCGCACAAGCAGCGGAGCGUGUGGUUUAAUUCGAAGCAACGCGAAGAACCUUACCAGCCCUUGACAUCGGGGUCGCGGUUUCCAGAGAUGGAUUCCUUCAGUUCGGCUGGACCCCAGACAGGUGUUGCAUGGCUGUCGUCAGCUCGUGUCG